GGUUGCGAUCAUACCAGCACUAAUGCACCGGAUCCCAUUAGAACUCCGCAGUUAAGCGUGCUUGGGCGAGAGUAGUACUAGGAUGGUGACCCCCUGGGAAGUCCUCGUGUUGCAACCCC
Molecule: ribosomal RNA, 119 nt
Filed under: Helianthus annuus (common sunflower)
Lineage: Eukaryota; Viridiplantae; Streptophyta; Magnoliopsida; Asterales; Asteraceae
Source: RNAcentral